GUCAAUGGCCACCCUGAACAAGUCCGAUCCCAUCUGAUGUCGGAAGUUAAGCAAGGUCGGGCCUGGUUAGUACUCAGAUGGGAGACCACCUAGGAAGACCAAGAGCUGUAGGCG
Molecule: ribosomal RNA, 114 nt
Filed under: Pteropus alecto (black flying fox)
Lineage: Eukaryota; Metazoa; Chordata; Mammalia; Chiroptera; Pteropodidae
Source: RNAcentral